Quercus lobata is the source of this 445-nucleotide long non-coding RNA. RefSeq lists it as uncharacterized. The record is from RefSeq and is a predicted model, not a curated record. Lineage: Eukaryota; Viridiplantae; Streptophyta; Magnoliopsida; Fagales; Fagaceae. The transcript has 2 exons.
AACCUGGUACUAAUCCGGUACUGAAAUACUCCUUUCCAAUUGACAAACCGAAAUGAGCACCAAAACGGUAUUCAUAACAUUGCUCUCCUCUCACUCUUAACUCCCUUUGAACUCUCUAACCCUUCUCUGAACUCUCACCUCUCUGUCUCACUGCCGACGGCCUCAACGUCAUCGGCCCACCGCUAACCCACUCCAUUGAAGUCCUAAGCCGACCCAAGCCCCAAGCGACUGAUCCACGCCUCCGCCUUGUCCUCCAUCUCACCGCUCACCCAACGCCGACAAGCCUGGGUUUCUCUGGAUUUCGUGAGUUUCAUCGUCGAUCCAAGCUCUGGGUUUCUCUGGGUUUCAUUGUCGAAGCUGCUGUUGCCUUCCUCAGCCCAUUGCUUUGGUUUUCUACGAUCUCAGUCAAAACUCAUUCUGCAGUGCAGAAUGCUAGAAUCAAAAC